AGGGAAAACCCAUCUACUUUCACGUCUAAGGUGGUUUCCUUCUAAAUCAUCCGAAAUACAAUAGUUAAAUAAAAACAAUGUACAACGAUUUUCAUUUACUUUGUUUAAAGAAAGACAAAACCAAAUCUUUAUAAAUUAAAACCCUCCUCUUUCCAGUAUGUUCCUACUCUUACCCUGUGGUAUAAUAUCGCUGCACCACUAAAAUAAGUCAAAUCAGUCUCCUGUAUGUAUGCAUGUUCAUCAAGGGAUUCCGCUUCCGGAAGGUAAACGACAACGACCGGUACAUUUUAUCGUACUUGGACUUGGAUUGACGCUAACCUACAGAUUUGACUUAACAACGUAAGGAUCUGUACCUUUACACCUAGUCAAAAUCAAGACUUCUUAGACGUAUGAAGACCAGGAUACAUUAAGGUUAAAUAAAUCUGUUCGUACGGUUUUCACAACUUUGGGUUCAAUCCCAAGUUUAAGCACCCCAACACGAACGACGAUUUGACUAGGACCUGAAAGACAACCGAUAUAAUAUUAAUCGUUUACCUUCGCCUCUCUAUUUCGUAUUUAUGAACUAUUUGAAAAAAACAACCCCGCCCCCUACCAAAUCAGGUAUCAAUUUUUUCCGCGCGGAUUCGCUCGCGAAUUCGCGAGGAUCCGAGAUCCGCAACUGUUUUGCGUAACGCGUAUUGAUGCGAAUUAGACACGUAUUGACGCGUAUCCAACGUUUUGCGUGUUAAUUGCGGAUCGCGAAAAAACUUGAUACCAAAUCCGUGAAGUACGUAACAACCACAACGUCUGAAAACGUGACGAUGAUUUACAGGAUAUACAAUAAGAAAUCAUCCCUAUAACCGUAUCUCUAUGGCGUUAUUAUUUUUGCUCUUAGGAGUAAUGAGUGUAUAUAUAAUGAUACAGGAAAACAAAGGUAACUUUGGAUAAAACAAAUAAGAAAAUCAAGGUUCCGUUUUAAGAGACUAAAAAUCAUUAAGUGUAAAUUGUUCUGUACACUUACCUCCUACCCUCCGUAAAUCUACGUUCAGUCUUUGAAGAAGACGAUCGAAUAAAAUUCAAAUAAUAAAGGAACGAGGGGAAAAGUAACAUCUCUUACUUUUCGUAGAAAGUGCGACGGUUGCCCUAGACCUGGUUCUCCUAGUCCUCCUGCUUAUGUCACCUGUGAUGAUGAGUCGUUCUAUGUCAAGUUUGGGACAUAGGAGGACUAACUAGAGGGAAGCGGGGACAAAUUCUUAGUACAAAGUGGGUAAGUCACAACAGAAGUCUUAAUAUCUGUGGAGUAAGAUAUUCCUCCGGCGGUGGUUCUUCUCGCUCCAACACAGUUACCUGAGUCGCUGUUCAACAUCUUUCUUUGUUCCGAAUACAAUCCGUUUCAACUAAUCCAACAUGAUGUGUGGCUCACGGAGGUAUUCUUAGAUCUAUUUUACGGUAUUUUCUGACAAGAUCUAUUCUACUACCGAUAGUUACACUCGCUGACUCGAAAAUACAGGUCUUUUACGAGUGAUUAUUUUAGACCUUACAGAAUACAAAGAGUAGAAAAGAGAAGUAAACAUACCAAUUUCAAACCGAAGUUUGGUUGUUUAUCAAUUAUAAUUUAAUUCGAUAAAAGGGCGAGGGGAGAAGUCAACCGUUUGGGUAGUUCCUUAACAACAUUACUUAUAUAAAAUAUACCAAUGUAGGUGUUGUCCUUCUCUAGAAUUUACG
RNAcentral lists this ribosomal RNA (1704 nucleotides) under Triticum aestivum (bread wheat). Its description in RNAcentral is "partial small subunit ribosomal RNA". Lineage: Eukaryota; Viridiplantae; Streptophyta; Magnoliopsida; Poales; Poaceae. The record is from RNAcentral.